GAUGAACGCUGGCGGCGUGCCUAAUACAUGCAAGUCGAGCGAACAGACGAGGAGCUUGCUCCUCUGACGUUAGCGGCGGACGGGUGAGUAACACGUGGUUAACCUACCUAUAAGACUGGGAUAACUUCGGGAAACCGGAGCUAAUACCGGAUAACAUGUUGAACCGCAUGGUUCCACAGUGAAAGACGGUCUUGCUGUCACUUAUAGAUGGAUCCGCGCCGCAUUAGCUAGUUGGUAAGGUAACGGCUUACCAAGGCAACGAUGCGUAGCCGACCUGAGAGGGUGAUCGGCCACACUGGAACUGAGACACGGUCCAGACUCCUACGGGAGGCAGCAGUAGGGAAUCUUCCGCAAUGGGCGAAAGCCUGACGGAGCAACGCCGCGUGAGUGAUGAAGGUCUUCGGAUCGUAAAACUCUGUUAUUAGGGAAGAACAAAUGUGUAAGUAACUAGGCACGUCUUGACGGUACCUAAUCAGAAAGCCACGGCUAACUACGUG
This 497-nucleotide ribosomal RNA is filed under the name uncultured bacterium. RNAcentral describes it as "partial 16S ribosomal RNA". It matches the Rfam family "Bacterial small subunit ribosomal RNA", at positions 28 to 507 of the family's 1533-position model. The record is from RNAcentral.